UAACGCGUGGGUAACCUGCCUUAUACAGGGGGAUAACAGUUAGAAAUGACUGCUAAUACCGCAUAAGCGCACAGUGCCGCAUGGUACGGUGUGAAAAACUCCGGUGGUAUAAGAUGGACCCGCGUCUGAUUAGCCAGUUGGCGGGGUAACGGCCCACCAAAGCGACGAUCAGUAGCCGACCUGAGAGGGUGACCGGCCACAUUGGGACUGAGACACGGCCCAAACUCCUACGGGAGGCAGCAGUGGGGAAUAUUGCACAAUGGGGGAAACCCUGAUGCAGCAACGCCGCGUGAGUGAAGAAGUAUUUCGGUAUGUAAAGCUCUAUCAGCAGGGAAGAAGAUGACGGUACCUGACCAAGAAGCCCCGGCUAACUACGUGCCAGCAGCCGCGGUAAUACGUAGGGGGCAAGCGUUAUCCGGAUUUACUGGGUGUAAAGGGAGCGCAGACGGCAGUGCAAGUCUGGAGUGAAAGCCCGGGGCCCAACCCCGGAACUGCUCUGGAAACUGUGCGGCUAGAGUACUGGAGGGGCAGGCGGAAUUCCUAGUGUAGCGGUGAAAUGCGUAGAUAUUAGGAGGAACACCAGUGGCGAAGGCGGCCUGCUGGACAGUAACUGACGUUGAGGCUCGAAAGCGUGGGGAGCAAACAGGAUUAGAUACCCUGGUAGU
Molecule: ribosomal RNA, 665 nt
Filed under: uncultured bacterium
Lineage: Bacteria
Description: bacterial SSU rRNA
Rfam family: Bacterial small subunit ribosomal RNA
Source: RNAcentral